RNAcentral lists this ribosomal RNA (425 nucleotides) under uncultured bacterium. RNAcentral's name for it is "partial 16S ribosomal RNA". It matches the Rfam family "Bacterial small subunit ribosomal RNA", at positions 354 to 796 of the family's 1533-position model. The record is from RNAcentral.
GUGGGGAAUAUUGGACAAUGGGCGCAAGCCUGAUCCAGCCAUGCCGCGUGAGUGAUGAAGGCCUUAGGGUUGUAAAGCUCUUUCACCGGUGAAGAUAAUGACGGUAACCGGAGAAGAAGCCCCGGCUAACUUCGUGCCAGCAGCCGCGGUAAUACGAAGGGGGCUAGCGUUGUUCGGAAUUACUGGGCGUAAAGCGCACGUAGGCUGAUAUUUAAGUCAGGGGUGAAAUCCCGGGGCUCAACCCCGGAACUGCCUUUGAUACUGGGUAUCUUGAGUAUGGAAGAGGUCAGUGGAAUUGCGAGUGUAGAGGUGAAAUUCGUAGAUAUUCGCAGGAACACCAGUGGCGAAGGCGGCUGACUGGUCCAUUACUGACGCUGAGGCGCGAAAGCGUGGGGAGCAAACAGGAUUAGAAACCCUUGUAGUCC